UACAGAGGUCCCAAGCGUUGUUCGGAUUCACUGGGCGUAAAGGGUGCGUAGGCGGUCGGGUAAGUCUGAUGUGAAAUCUCGAAGCCUAACUUCGAAACUGCAUUGGAUACUAUUCGGCUAGAGGAAUGGAGGGGAGACUGGAAUGCUCGGUGUAGCAGUGAAAUGCGUAGAUAUCGAGCGGAACACCAGUGGCGAAGGCGAGUCUCUGGACAUUUCCUGACGCUGAGGCACGAAAGCCAGGGGAGCAAACGGG
RNAcentral lists this ribosomal RNA (253 nucleotides) under uncultured bacterium. RNAcentral's name for it is "partial 16S ribosomal RNA". It matches the Rfam family "Bacterial small subunit ribosomal RNA", at positions 524 to 776 of the family's 1533-position model. The record is from RNAcentral.